Molecule: ribosomal RNA, 465 nt
Filed under: uncultured bacterium
Lineage: Bacteria
Description: partial 16S ribosomal RNA
Rfam family: Bacterial small subunit ribosomal RNA
Source: RNAcentral
CCUACGGGUGGCAGCAGUAGGGAAUCUUCCACAAUGGGCGAAAGCCUGAUGGAGCAACGCCGCGUGGGUGAAGAAGGUCUUCGGAUCGUAAAACUCUGUUGUUAGAGAAGAAAGUGCGUGAGAGUAACUGUUCACGUUUCGACGGUAUCUAACCAGAAAGCCACGGCUAACUACGUGCCAGCAGCCGCGGUAAUACGUAGGUGGCAAGUGUUAUCCGGAUUUAUUGGGCGUAAAGGGAACGCAGGCGGUCUUUUAAGUCUGAUGUGAAAGCCUUCGGCUUAACCGGAGAAGUGCAUUGGAAACUGGCAGACUUGAGUGCAGAUGAGGAGAGUGGAACUCCAGGUGUAGCGGUGAAAUGCGUAGAUAUAUGGAAGAACACCAGUGGCGAAGGCGGCUCUCUGGUCUGUAACUGACGCUGAGGUUCGAAAGCGUGGGUAGCAAACAGGAUUAGAUACCCUUGUAGUC